GACGAACGCUGGCGGCGUGCCUAAUACAUGCAAGUUGAGCGAUGAAGAUUGGUGCUUGCACCAAUUUGAAGAGCAGCGAACGGGUGAGUAACGCGUGGGGAAUCUGCCUUUGAUCGGGGGACAACAUUUGGAAACGAAUGCUAAUACCGCAUAACAACUUUAAACAUAAGUUUUAAGUUUGAAAGAUGCAAUUGCAUCACUCAAAGAUGAUCCCGCGUUGUAUUAGCUAGUUGGUGAGGUAAAGGCUCACCAAGGCGAUGAUACAUAGCCGACCUGAGAGGGUGAUCGGCCACAUUGGGACUGAGACACGGCCCAAAAUCCUACGGGAGGCAGCAGUAGGGAAUCUUCGGCAAUGGACGAAAGUCUGACCGAGCAACGCCGCGUGAGUGAAGAAGGUUUUCGGAUCGUAAAACACUGUUGGUAGAGAAGAACGUUGGUGAGAGUGGAAAGCUCAUAAAGUGACGGUAACUACUCAGAAAGGGACGGCUAACUACGUG
RNAcentral lists this ribosomal RNA (497 nucleotides) under uncultured bacterium. RNAcentral describes it as "partial 16S ribosomal RNA". It matches the Rfam family "Bacterial small subunit ribosomal RNA", at positions 28 to 507 of the family's 1533-position model. The record is from RNAcentral.